UACAGAGGAGCCAAGCGUUGUCCGGAUUGACUGGGCGUAAAGCGCACGCAGGCGGUCGCGCGCGUGGGGUGUGAAAUCUGGCCGCUUAACGGCCAGGCGCCAUCCCAUACGGCACGACUGGAGUGAUGCAGAGGUCGAUGGAAUUGCCGGUGUAGUGGUGAAAUGCGUAGAUAUAGGGAAGAACACCAAUCAGGCGAAGGCAGUUAACUAUUCUAUUCCUGACAUUGAGGCAUGAAAGCGUGGGGAGCAAAACGG
Molecule: ribosomal RNA, 255 nt
Filed under: uncultured bacterium
Lineage: Bacteria
Description: partial 16S ribosomal RNA
Rfam family: Bacterial small subunit ribosomal RNA
Source: RNAcentral